UUGCGUCACUUCAGUAAACAUGCACAACAAACAGACUGCAAAAUAAUGUCAUGAUAUAAAGGCAGAGUGAAACAGCACCUUGUAUGUUUGCUAUUCCACAAUGUCAAUUACUGCUACUUAGGGUGACUGAUGUGUAAUGGGUCAGGCUUCAGCUCUCAUAGACCGCCCAGCAUACUGGAACCAAAAAAAUCUACACUGUGCUUCACUCCGUGCCGUUGGAGCAGGCUUCUCAGUAGAGUGUGGUCAGGAGGUGACUGAAGUGACUGAAGUCUAGCCAUGUUUAAGUCUGUUUAUUAUCUCACAGAACCUGGACACAAGCCACCAGCUUCACGAUUUUGUCCACCAAGUUAUGGUUAAAAUGGUCCAAAUGAGUAGAUGAACUUUUACUAAAUGAUGAGGUGGAACAUCUGACCAUGAAUAUGUAUGCAUAAUUUCAUCUUUCUGUGUCCACUUGUUUGAGUUAUAAGGUAUUUUGAGGUCAAAACUUUUUGGUCUGUAUGGUCUCAAAAUGGUACAAAUUUUGUGCGAUUCGGAUGAACGGUCUAGGACAAGAAAAGUAGACUUUUCACAUUAUGCAAAUUCGUAAAAAAAAAAAUCUAAGUAGGCAGAGAUUCACAGUCCCAAUUGCAAUCUUUUUGACAUGAGCCAGGGAAUGUUUUGGGGAAAAAAAGAAUUUUGUUUCUAUGAUUCAAGGUUCUGGAGAUAUAGGCCAGAAUUUAAAACACUGUGCUAUAGUGCCACCAUCAGGUCAAUAGGUAUAAUUCUGCUUGCCUGAGUAGUGGGGGGGAAUUCUGCACCACUCCACCAAAUUGUGUUUCUACAUCUUAUGGUCUCUGCUCCCCAUAUUGUUUUAGUGCAAAAUAAGAAUAAUAAUAAGAAAAGAAAACAAGAAUAAUAAGAAAAAUCCUAGCAAACACAAUAGGGUUCCAGCACUGCAUGAUUGGACCCCUAAAUACAUUACACAGCUGCAUCAUAUGAUUCGAUGUAAAAGAUAUGUGAAAUGAAUUUUCCUCUUAGAAACCAGUACAAAACCUCGGUACUUCAGUCAUAAAACUAUAGAUGGAUAUGACACACACAUCAAUAAAAAUUUAGCUGGAAAGAUAUUUAGAAUACCUUUUACAAGAACAUCUGAUCAAUGGAUUUAAAAAAAAGUUAAAGCAGAAUGCAGGUGGAUUGUGAACAAAUGUGACCAUGGUAACAUGGAACCAUAAAAUAUAAAUCACACUAAGAUGAAUCAAUAGUAGACAUGUUUUGAAGGUUGGUGAGAACAAAAUGUCUAAUAAAAUCCUGCAAGCUAAACACAUGAAACUAAGGCUACAGUGGGUACAGUCUCACUGAAACUGCAAAAACAUUGGAAUACUGGAAAAAUAUUGCCAGGUCUGAUACAUCUCCAUUUCUACUAAGGCAGGUCACAAUUUUGAAUAAACAGCAUGAAUCCACGGACUCAUUCUGCCUUAUGUCAACAGUCCAGGCUGCUGGUGGUGUAAUGAUUGUUUUCUUGGCAUUCACUGGGCACCCUAUUACCAAUUAAUUUUAUUGUUGCUGACUAUCUGUAUCUCUGUAUGGCCACAGUUUACCCAUUUUUUGGAUUCUUUCAGCAGGAUAAUGUGCCAUAUUACAAAGCAUGUGUCAUCUCAAACUGGUUCCAUGAAUAGGAAAAUGAGUUAAGUCUACUUCAGUGAUCUUUCCAGUCAAAUAACAUGCUUUAUUAAACAUUAUUCCCUGUUUUAGUGUGUUGCCCACUAAAAUAAAUGUAAACAUGUACAACAGUAAUAAUGGUUAAAAUGUCUGAAAUUACCUUCAGAAUUAUACACAGAAUAUUCCAGACAGAAAAUAUAAUACAGAUCACAAAAUCUAGGUCUAAACAUUUUCUUCAAUGAUCAUGAGACAUUUCUUCUUGAUCUGUACACAUGAAACAUUAAAAAUAAUCUUCAACAGUGCCACCCAAGAAACCCUGGGUAAGGUGAAAGUAACAAAAAAAAAAUCAAAGGAUUUAGGCAAUUUCAAGGAUUUCCACAAGACACUGUGCUUGCUACAAAAUCUCCUAAACGUAACAAUGUUCUUAAAAUAAAACAGUCCCUUGGCAUAAAAAAGAAAGCAUUACAUUGCAGUAAACUUGAAAACUUGAGUGUGCCGACAUAACAAUCAACUGAAAAUUUCCUACCCUUAAUUUAAGGACUCUGGUUGGUUGUGGUUCUUAUUAAAAAACACAUAUAAUCAUCAUUCUUUCAUUAUUUAAUAAUUUAAUUAUUAAUACUAGAAAGAAACCAAUAAAAUCAUUUAAACAAAAGGGAUAUGUUAUUCCUACUUCUUUUCCUCAGAUUUUUUAUUGUGCAAUUUGGAGCAAGGAGUUUAAUGACCCACUGAUAGUGGGUAUCACUCAGACAGAGACAAAGACAUCCAGGUAGAGCCUGUCGUAGGAUUCUCUGAAGAACAGUAUGAGGACGAGGCUGAAAACACAGGAUCCCGUCAGGCACCAGUUCAGCCAUGACAGAUCUGUAAAAAUAAAAGUCCACCACAGGAAGGACCCACCUGCAGUGGAGGGGAGAUGAGUGACCCGAGUUAAGCAGGUUAGGGUGAACCAAGUUGAGGCUAAGGAGGCGCCAGCCAGCAUCAGCAACAGUAUGAGCUUUAACAUGCCCCGGAUGGAGUCUGC
Molecule: long non-coding RNA, 2656 nt
Organism: Brienomyrus brachyistius
Lineage: Eukaryota; Metazoa; Chordata; Actinopteri; Osteoglossiformes; Mormyridae
Exons: 3
Source: RefSeq, a predicted model, not a curated record